AUCCAGUUGACGAGUCCGCAAUAAGACGAAAGGUGCGUCCUGAAU
Schistosoma mattheei is the source of this 45-nucleotide non-coding RNA. Lineage: Eukaryota; Metazoa; Platyhelminthes; Trematoda; Strigeidida; Schistosomatidae. The record is from Rfam.